GGCACUUGGUGAUGGAGGCAACAGCAGCAGCAGCAGAAGCAGCAGCAGCAGUGGAGGGAAUUCCCAGGUGGCUGAGCAGCACACCAACUGGAGGGAGGGUCCCUUCAGGGCACUCCGUUAUCCACCAGCCUGGCUCUGCAUCCACCUCCAAUAAUGGUGCCUCCCAAGUUGGCAUCUUUAACUGGAUGGCAAUAUACAUUUCAGGUGGGUUGUACCAGGGGGUGGCCACAGUGCCCAGGGGAGUGGUGCUUCGCUGUACCGAGAAGAGUUUCUUCA
This is a long non-coding RNA of Vombatus ursinus (common wombat), 276 nucleotides long. The record is from Ensembl. Lineage: Eukaryota; Metazoa; Chordata; Mammalia; Diprotodontia; Vombatidae.